UAUCUAUGCCAUACCCCCCUGAAUGUGCCCAAUGUCGUCUGAUCUCAGAAGCUAAGCAGGGUCAGGCCUGGUUAGUACUUGGAUGGUAGAAGUGAAAACAUAUGUCUAUAUAA
RNAcentral lists this ribosomal RNA (113 nucleotides) under Castor canadensis (American beaver). Lineage: Eukaryota; Metazoa; Chordata; Mammalia; Rodentia; Castoridae. The record is from RNAcentral.